AUUGGCUAAGACAGGGGCGAGAAUAUCAUACAAGAUACUUAAAUGAAAUAUUUUAUUCCGUAUAGGUCGAAAUCAUUGUAUUACUUAAUUAUUACUGUACUAUAUUAAAUUAAUUGGAAUGAAAUCUUUCAGAAUUUGAUUUUGAAUUAUCAACUUCGAUUUUUUUUUUCAUUUCUUCUUCGUCGCUUAAAAUUGGAAAAUAGAAGAAUUAAGUGAAUCAAAAACCCAAAGGAGGUUGAUGGCCAAGGGUAAAGAUAUCCGA
This 262-nucleotide long non-coding RNA is filed under the name Lotus japonicus. Its description in RNAcentral is "long non-coding RNA (LJAP_LNC001894)". The record is from RNAcentral. Lineage: Eukaryota; Viridiplantae; Streptophyta; Magnoliopsida; Fabales; Fabaceae.